AAGCCCCGGUUAACUUCGUGCCAGCAGCCGCGGUAAUACGAAGGGGGCUAGCGUUGCUCGGAAUUACUGGGCGUAAAGGGUACGUAGGCGGAUCGUUAAGUCGGGGGUGAAAUCCUGGAGCUCAACUCCAGAACUGCCUUUGAUACUGGAGAUCUUGAGUCCGGAAGAGGUGAGUGGAACUCCUAGUGUAGAGGUGGAAUUCGUAGAUAUUCGGAAGAACACCAGUGGCGAAGGCGGCUCACUGGCCCGAUACUGACGCUGAGGUACGAAAGCGUGGGGAGCAAACAGGAUUAGAUACCCUGGUAGUCCACGCCGUAAACUAUGAAAGCUAGCCGUUGGGGGGUUUACCUUUCAGUGGCGCAGCUAACGCUUUAAGCAUUCCGCCUGGGGAGUACGGUCGC
RNAcentral lists this ribosomal RNA (401 nucleotides) under bacterium Fuku2-ISO-41. RNAcentral's name for it is "bacterial SSU rRNA". It matches the Rfam family "Bacterial small subunit ribosomal RNA", at positions 488 to 889 of the family's 1533-position model. The record is from RNAcentral.